GAUGAACGCUGGCGGCGUGCCUAAUACAUGCAAGUCGAGCGAACAGACGAGGAGCUUGCUCCUCUGACGUUAGCGGCGGACGGGUGAGUAACACGUGGAUAACCUACCUAUAAGACUGGGAUAACUUCGGGAAACCGGAGCUAAUACCGGAUAAUAUAUUGAACCGCAUGGUUCAAUAGUGAAAGACGGUUUUGCUGUCACUUAUAGAUGGAUCCGCGCCGCAUUAGCUAGUUGGUAAGGUAACGGCUUACCAAGGCAACGAUGCGUAGCCGACCUGAGAGGGUGAUAGGCCACACUGGAACUGGGACACGGUCCAGACUCCUACGGGAGGCAGCAGUAGGGAAUCUUCCGCAAUGGGCGAGAGCCUGACGGAGCAACGCCGCGUGAGUGAUGAAGGUCUUCGGAUCGUAAAACUCUGUUAUUAGGGAAGAACAAAUGUGUAAGUAACUAUGCACGUCUUGACGGUACCUAAUCAGAAAGCCACGGCUAACUACGUG
RNAcentral lists this ribosomal RNA (497 nucleotides) under uncultured bacterium. Its description in RNAcentral is "partial 16S ribosomal RNA". It matches the Rfam family "Bacterial small subunit ribosomal RNA", at positions 28 to 507 of the family's 1533-position model. The record is from RNAcentral.